Long non-coding RNA from Canis lupus familiaris (dog), 1267 nucleotides. RefSeq lists it as uncharacterized. NCBI's taxonomy places the organism in Eukaryota, Metazoa, Chordata, Mammalia, Carnivora, Canidae. The transcript has 5 exons. The record is from RefSeq and is a predicted model, not a curated record.
UUUCUUCUUUAGCAUCUCACUAAAGUACCGUUCUUCGUAUCUUUUACUUUCUUCUUAAUUUUCACAGGUCUAAAAAUUAAAUUCUCCUCGUUGGAGGGCAAUCUCCCGCAUGCACAGAAUACACAGGGAAAGAAACAACACCAGGGGAGCUCACCAUCCAUGCCCCCAUGUCUUUCCUCAUCCCCCUCCCUGUCCUUACCUGGGAUCCAGAGCAUCAGCAGCCCCAGGAGCUGAGAAGGGAACCUCAUCUUGAGAAGCUGAGCUGAGGAGCCCUAAUAAAGAUAGAUCGAUUGAUUGAUCGAUCGAUAGACACACACACAUGCCAUGUGGUAUAUAUGAGACCCUUCAUUACAACAGUGACAGAACCUGAUGAUUCUUCAUGUGUCUGCUUGACGUUAUCAUAUUGAGAUAUUUGUGAGAAUUGUGUCAACCUCAAGUUACCUCCCAAUUAAAGUCACUGUCCUCAAACAAAAUCCUGGAGAAACUGAAAGCAUAGAGUUUGUAGUUCUACUGAGUCUCAGUGACCUAAUCAUUGUAUAAUGGAGGGGUUUGGAAAUUAAUGCUCUUAGGAUUGUUUCCAUGAUCAGAAGAAAAGAGAAUGAGAGCGAGAUAUGCUUUCCUGGAUCUGAUCUUCCUACCCUGUACUCAUAUCUCAAUAUUUUCUUCUCCUCCCUAAUGAACGUUGCUAGUGAAUGAAUUCAGAAAGACAAGCCACAAUAAUGAAAAAUGUCACUAUGAAGACAAAAAGGAAAAUAUAAGACAAUAUUAUAAAUGUUAAGUCUAAAAAUUAAAUUCCCCCUGUUGGAGGGCAAUCUGUCCCAUGCACAGAAUACACAGGGAGAGAAACAGCACCAGGGGAGCUCACCAUCCACGCCCCCAUGUCUUUCCUCAUCCCCGCCCUGUCCUUACCUGGGAUCCAGAGCAUCAGCAGCCCCAGGAGCUGAGAUGGGAACCUCAUCUUGAGAAGCUGAGCUGAGGAGCCCUAGUAAGUAAAGACAAGCCUAGAGCUGACCUUUAUCUCAGACUUUCAAGGGAAGGUCCUCCCCAGGGGACAAUAUGCAAAUCCCCUGGUGGGUGUGGCAGAGUGGAAAGAGGCACAGGCAGGUGCAGGUCCCUCUCCUGCCAGUGUAGUAGCUUAAAAGGUCUUCUGUGCUGGGAGGAAAGCUAACAGAGACAAAUUCUUUACUGCCUGAGUAGGAAGGAGGAUCGAAGGGUAAAGUCAGGAUCUGUGGGAAGACAGUGCUCAGAGUCCUGCCCUUCUGUGAAA